AGCGAACGCUGGCGGCGUACCUAACACAUGCAAGUCGAACGGGGGUCAUCGGGUUAGCAAUAGUUCGGUGGUCCUAGUGGCGCACGGGUGAGUAACACGUGGGCAACCUGCCCUAGAGAUCGGGAUACCCCCUCGAAAGGGGGGCGUAAUACCGGAUACGUUCCCCGGGUCGAAAGGACCUGAGGAGGAAAGGUGGCGGCCAAGCUGCCGCCUCUUGGAGGGGCGUCGCGGCCUAUCAGCUAGUUGGUGGGGAACGGCCACCAAGGCUAUGACGGGUAGCUGGUCUGAGAGGACGACCAGCCACACGGUGACUGAGACA
This 319-nucleotide ribosomal RNA is filed under the name uncultured bacterium. Its description in RNAcentral is "bacterial SSU rRNA". It matches the Rfam family "Bacterial small subunit ribosomal RNA", at positions 28 to 326 of the family's 1533-position model. The record is from RNAcentral.